Long non-coding RNA from Symphalangus syndactylus (siamang), 389 nucleotides. RefSeq lists it as uncharacterized. Lineage: Eukaryota; Metazoa; Chordata; Mammalia; Primates; Hylobatidae. The record is from RefSeq and is a predicted model, not a curated record.
CCUGCCUGUAAGCUCCAACCAGCAGGUAGAAUCCAGGAGUUCCAAGGUCCAAAGGGUCCUUACCCCUCAGCUGAGAAAAUAGGGAAAGCCUCAUAUUAGAUGUCAGUACACAAGUUCAGCCAAAUGCUUGCGAAAUUUCUUCUGAACACAUCCCAGGAGACUUGACCCUCCCCGCUUCAGGAUGCUGACUCUGUUUUGCCUGAAACCAGAAAAGCUCUGCUUCAGGCCUCAAACUGGAAACAACCCAAAUGUCCAUCUGUAGUAGAAUGGACCCACUGUGGCAUAUUCAUAUAAUGCAAUGCAAACCAGCAGUGAAAAAGACCGGACUGCAGCUGCCUACAACAUGAAUGCACCUCGCAGACAUGGUGUGAGACCGAAGCAGCUCAUGG